This 637-nucleotide ribosomal RNA is filed under the name Fusarium oxysporum. RNAcentral describes it as "eukaryotic LSU rRNA". The record is from RNAcentral. Lineage: Eukaryota; Fungi; Ascomycota; Sordariomycetes; Hypocreales; Nectriaceae.
CCCUUCACCCGGAGCCGGCUGGUCCGCCCGGCCACCACCGUAUGUUCAACGGGGUUCGAAGUCUAACCUCGGUAAUGAUCCCUCCGUAGGUGAACCUGCGGAGGGAUCAUUACCGRGKYURCGARCGGUCCACMAACCCCUGUGAACAUACCAAUUGUUGCCUCGGCGGAUCAGCCCGCUCCCGGUAAAACGGGACGGCCCGCCAGAGGACCCCUAAACUCUGUUUCUAUAUGUAACUUCUGAGUAAAACCAUAAAUAAAUCAAAACUUUCAACAACGGAUCUCUUGGUUCUGGCAUCGAUGAAGAACGCAGCAAAAUGCGAUAAGUAAUGUGAAUUGCAGAAUUCAGUGAAUCAUCGAAUCUUUGAACGCACAUUGCGCCCGCCAGUAUUCUGGCGGGCAUGCCUGUUCGAGCGUCAUUUCAACCCUCAAGCCCAGCUUGGUGUUGGGACUCGCGAGUCAAAUCGCGUUCCCCAAAUCGAUUGGCGGUCACGUCGAGCUUCCAUAGCGUAGUAGUAAAACCCUCGUUACUGGUAAUCGUCGCGGCCACGCCGUUAAACCCCAACUUCUGAAUGUUGACCUCGGAUCASGUAGUGMMUMCCUCSCYSAACUUAAGCAUAUCAAUAGGCGGGAGGAAA